UACGGAGGGUGCAAGCGUUGUUCGGAUUUACUGGGCGUAAAGUGUGUCUAGGUGGGAAUAUAUGUCAGGUGUGAAAGACCCGGGCUCAACCCGGGAAAUGCGCCUGAAACUGUAUUUCUUGAGUCAUGGAGAGGUGGGCAGAAUACCUAGUGUAGCAGUGAAGUGCGUAGAUAUUAGGUAGAACACCGGAGGCGAAGGCGGCUCGCUGGCCAUGUACUGACACUGAAGCACGAAAGCGUGGGGAGCAAACAGG
RNAcentral lists this ribosomal RNA (253 nucleotides) under uncultured bacterium. RNAcentral's name for it is "partial 16S ribosomal RNA". It matches the Rfam family "Bacterial small subunit ribosomal RNA", at positions 524 to 776 of the family's 1533-position model. The record is from RNAcentral.